This 289-nucleotide ribosomal RNA is filed under the name uncultured Streptomycetaceae bacterium. RNAcentral's name for it is "partial 16S ribosomal RNA". Lineage: Bacteria; Bacillati; Actinomycetota; Actinomycetes; Kitasatosporales; Streptomycetaceae. The record is from RNAcentral.
CUACACGGGUAUCUAAUCCUGUUCGCUCCCCACGCUUUCGCUCCUCAGCGUCAGUAAUGGCCCAGAGAUCCGCCUUCGCCACCGGUGUUCCUCCUGAUAUCUGCGCAUUUCACCGCUACACCAGGAAUUCCGAUCUCCCCUACCACACUCUAGCCUGCCCGUAUCGAAUGCAGACCCGGGGUUAAGCCCCGGGCUUUCACAUCCGACGCGACAAGCCGCCUACGAGCUCUUUACGCCCAAUAAUUCCGGACAACGCUCGCACCCUACGUAUUACCGCGGCUGCUGGCAC